This 651-nucleotide long non-coding RNA is filed under the name Phasianus colchicus (ring-necked pheasant). RNAcentral's name for it is "lncRNA (ENSPCLG00000003664.1)". The record is from RNAcentral. Lineage: Eukaryota; Metazoa; Chordata; Aves; Galliformes; Phasianidae.
UUCUGUGUGGAGCCAGGAGUUGAACUCAAUGAUCCUUGAAGGCCCUUUCCAACUCAGGAUAUUCUGUUUCUUUGCUUCUCUGACCCACUGCUAGACACAGCUAACAGCACUGUUUUGCAGGCUCUCUUGUGCCUCAUCAUCAGUGCAUCUUUCACAACAUGAAGGCAUCAGAUUUACUCAUCUAUCUGCUUUUCCCCAGUGGCUGCAGUUCUUCAAUAGCUACAAUUUCUUUAGCUGCAAUCUGAACCUAUGCAGUUAGUGACAUGAUAGGGGCGUCAUUUAUUUAUUACAGCUUUGGGGAAAUCUCUACAGACUGACAGCAGAAAGAAUGAGCAUAGAGAAAUAACUUGCAGACACCAGGAGCUUAUUUUAAAAUCCCAAAACACAGCACAGAUUGUGUUACCCAGAUCACAAAGGAUCAGCUAGUGGAGAAGAAUGUGCCCUGCCAUGAGCAAUCUCAUCAUCUCUAAAGGAAUCCUCCACAGAUUUCAGUGGCUUCCCAAGGGGACAAAGCCAAACAAAUAACUUCAACACAUGCAAAGGACUUCAUUGCUUUAUAAACUUUGGCUACGUUGGAAGAACAAGGGUUAAUCUUUCCAUCAUUGCACCAUCUGUCUCAGAUGAAAAGCUAUUAAAAAAUUAAACCUACCU